AUCAAGGAAACCAUGAUUGUGCUU
Molecule: non-coding RNA, 24 nt
Filed under: Rattus norvegicus (Norway rat)
Lineage: Eukaryota; Metazoa; Chordata; Mammalia; Rodentia; Muridae
Source: RNAcentral